This 358-nucleotide ribosomal RNA is filed under the name Dikerogammarus haemobaphes. RNAcentral describes it as "partial 16S ribosomal RNA". Lineage: Eukaryota; Metazoa; Arthropoda; Malacostraca; Amphipoda; Gammaridae. The record is from RNAcentral.
UGCGGUAUUUUGACCGUGCUAAGGUAGCAUAAUCAAUUGUUUUUUAAUUGAAAACUAGUAUGAACGGUUUAAUUUACUUAAUUAGUUUGUAAUUUUUAAUAGUAAGUUAAAUAUAAAGUAAGAAUUCUUUAAUAAAUUAGGGGACGAUAAGACCCUAAAAGCUUUAUGAUUGGCAUUUAAUUAGUGAUAGCGGUGUUAUUAAUUCACUGGGGCAGUGAGUUUAGGUAUAUUUAAGUAUAAUUAAAAGCUCCUUUAAAUAAAGAUUUCAUGUAUAAGUUACUUUAGGGAUAACAGUGCAAUAUAUUUGGGGAGACCAUAUCUAUAAAUAUGAUUGCAACCUCGAUGUUGAAUUAAAAUA